AUCCAGCUGAGAAGUCCCAAAUAGGACGAAAUGUGUGUCUAACUGGAU
RNAcentral lists this non-coding RNA (48 nucleotides) under Schistosoma mattheei. The record is from RNAcentral. Lineage: Eukaryota; Metazoa; Platyhelminthes; Trematoda; Strigeidida; Schistosomatidae.